This 519-nucleotide ribosomal RNA is filed under the name Escherichia coli. Its description in RNAcentral is "bacterial SSU rRNA". It matches the Rfam family "Bacterial small subunit ribosomal RNA", at positions 1007 to 1526 of the family's 1533-position model. RNAcentral also lists the same sequence under 1 other name. The record is from RNAcentral. Lineage: Bacteria; Pseudomonadati; Pseudomonadota; Gammaproteobacteria; Enterobacterales; Enterobacteriaceae.
UGGAUUGGUGCCUUCGGGAACUGUGAGACAGGUGCUGCAUGGCUGUCGUCAGCUCGUGUUGUGAAAUGUUGGGUUAAGUCCCGCAACGAGCGCAACCCUUAUCCUUUGUUGCCAGCGGUCCGGCCGGGAACUCAAAGGAGACUGCCAGUGAUAAACUGGAGGAAGGUGGGGAUGACGUCAAGUCAUCAUGGCCCUUACGACCAGGGCUACACACGUGCUACAAUGGCGCAUACAAAGAGAAGCGACCUCGCGAGAGCAAGCGGACCUCAUAAAGUGCGUCGUAGUCCGGAUUGGAGUCUGCAACUCGACUCCAUGAAGUCGGAAUCGCUAGUAAUCGUGGAUCAGAAUGCCACGGUGAAUACGUUCCCGGGCCUUGUACACACCGCCCGUCACACCAUGGGAGUGGGUUGCAAAAGAAGUAGGUAGCUUAACCUUCGGGAGGGCGCUUACCACUUUGUGAUUCAUGACUGGGGUGAAGUCGUAACAAGGUAACCGUAGGGGAACCUGCGGUUGGAUCAC